Molecule: small nucleolar RNA, 107 nt
Organism: Sorghum bicolor (sorghum)
Lineage: Eukaryota; Viridiplantae; Streptophyta; Magnoliopsida; Poales; Poaceae
Rfam family: Plant small nucleolar RNA R71
About the family: R71 is a member of the C/D box family of snoRNAs containing the C (UGAUGA) and D (CUGA) box motifs. Multiple nearly identical copies of this snoRNA have been identified in Arabidopsis, and it is thought to function as a 2'-O-ribose methylation guide for 18S ribosomal RNA.
Source: Rfam
AUUCCAUGAUGGGGACAUUCUAGAAUGUAGUCUUGGAAGCGCUCCCAUGCUUCUAGAACAAAUUCGUCAUGUUGUUGCUGAAAACUUGUAAUCUUCCCAUGGAGAGC